Molecule: long non-coding RNA, 220 nt
Filed under: Capsicum annuum
Lineage: Eukaryota; Viridiplantae; Streptophyta; Magnoliopsida; Solanales; Solanaceae
Description: long non-coding RNA (CANN_LNC012706)
Source: RNAcentral
GAUAAUGAAAAGAAGUUAGUUCAGGAAGUUCAUCAGCUUACCUGAAAAGGUAUCUACUUAGUCGAUUUAGCAGAGGGAAGUAUGUGGGUGCAGAAUAGUUCAGAAUCAUCUCUGGUUUCUGAAUAGUUUAGUCAAGUUGAAAUAGUUAAUUAGAGAUCAGAAAGUAGAGGUUUUGUCCCAAGGGGAAAUGGUGUGUUGCAAUACCAGGGUCGGUUAUGCG